Molecule: unclassified non-coding RNA, 365 nt
Filed under: Hevea brasiliensis (rubber tree)
Lineage: Eukaryota; Viridiplantae; Streptophyta; Magnoliopsida; Malpighiales; Euphorbiaceae
Source: RNAcentral
GACUGCACGGGCAAGAGAAGCAGAAUGUUGUGGAGAAAAAUUCUUAAAUGCAACAGAUAAGGUCUGACCCAUAGAAACAGAAAGUGGCAAGGCAGGCAAAGCGAACAGCUGCAGAACAGCUUCAAUUCCUUUCUUCUCAACAAAAAUACGGCAUGUAUCAGAAUUCUGAAGAAUUGUUUCAAGCAGACGAGCAGCAUUGCUUAUACAUUCAGGAAGAAAAGACUCUAUGUUUGGUAGCAAAGAAUCAGAAGAUGGUUCAACAUGCUCCAAACUUUUAGCCUUUUGUGAGUCUUGCUCGGGCAAAACCACACCCCUAUCCUCACCUUCUGUUUCCAUCGGAACAGGGUUAGAAGAACUAGGACAGU